Molecule: small nucleolar RNA, 106 nt
Filed under: Erinaceus europaeus (western European hedgehog)
Lineage: Eukaryota; Metazoa; Chordata; Mammalia; Eulipotyphla; Erinaceidae
Source: RNAcentral
AUAAAUCUUUUUAAAAGUCAUUAAAAAAAGAACCCAAAGUGACAGUUUUCCUUUUCAAAGUUGUUUUUAUUGCAACUGAUCCGCCACAGUGUAGGAAAAGACAAUU